UACGGGAGGGUGCAAGCGUUAAUCGGAAUUACUGGGCGUAAAGCGUGCGCAGGCGGUUUGUUAAGUCCGUUGUGAAAGCCCCGAGCUCAACUUGGGAAUUGCAGUGGAUACUGGCAGGCUGGAGUACGGUAGAGGAAGGUGGAAUUCCCGGUGUAGCAGUGAAAUGCGUAGAUAUCGGGGAGGAACACCAGUGGCGAAGGCGGCCUUCUGGACCAGUACUGACGCUCAUGCACGAAAGCGUGGGGAGCAAACAGG
Molecule: ribosomal RNA, 255 nt
Filed under: uncultured bacterium
Lineage: Bacteria
Description: partial 16S ribosomal RNA
Rfam family: Bacterial small subunit ribosomal RNA
Source: RNAcentral